AGAGUGACUGGUUUGGAAGAACCCUGACAAACCCUAUGUGUCUAUUAUGUGGGCCACUAUCAAGUGCCCUUGAAGAGGUGAACUGUAAACCCCUAGUGCCCACAAGGUUAGAGUUCUGGGAAAGGGUGUGACAAGCUAUUCGGGAAUUUGGGGGUUAGCGCUGGUCCUGGGAACCUAGGUCAGCUGGGCCCUGCAAUACCAUUUCCACAGAGGAGUAACAGACAGCCUAUGCCUAGAAAUGCAUCCGAUGAAGUGAGCUGUAGCUCACGAAAGCUUAUGCUCUAAUAAAUUUGUUAGUCUCUAAGGUGCCACAAGUACUCCUUUCCCUAUGCCUAGAAAGUGUGUUAGAGGGGCCAAGGAGAGAGACAGGGCUGUAGCCUACUCAGACCCAGGGAAGCUUAAGAGCACAUGGGCCCAGUGUGGUGGGACACAAACACAGCGACCUGGUAAGUGUUCUGGCGAGGGAGCACUAGCAGGGUUGUGUAACAGUACAUUGAUUAGCCUUAUUGGAACUGAAUUGUUUUUCAAUUAUUUGCCUGGAGACUGUCCUUGGAAUCCAAAGACUGUUACAGCAAGUAAUACUACAGAAAGCAGAACUAGCACUAGCCACGGAGCUGCCAUUGUGCAAACAGGAAGUACCCAUUUGUUAGCGACAAAGACAGAAUGAGAAACUGCUGUGGAUUUUUUCCAAAUUGCUUUAUUGAUUAUCUACAUUAUUUUUGAAUUUCAAUGGAAAGACAAGCCUCCCAGCUUGACUGACUAACUGUAUUUAAAUAGUGGUUUGCAGUUUUGUUUGUGAUGUGUCCUGAAUUGAAACAGACAAGUUUGUUCUACGUUUUAAAGGAGAUUCCUACUUUUUAUUUUUUGCUUUCAUGUGCAUGUCAACAAGCUUCGGAUUACAAUGAAAACCUGUGAGGUCCUUCAAGAGAGAAGCCAACUGCUUUAUUCAUGAAGCAGAGAGCUUGUAGAUGUACAGCUAGAGAGUCUACUUCAAAAAGUACAGAAUUGUGAAGAGCUCGCCAGCACAGCUAAUCAUGGAGACUCAAGGCCACAAACCCACUCCAGCAUGGAGCACACAGGAGGUAUUGGAUCUUAUUGCUGUGAAGAGUCUGUGUGGGCAGAGCUCUAAUCUAGCAGAAGAAACGCAGACAUCUAUGCCAAAAUUGCACAGGGGACGGAGGAGAAGAGCUACACCAGGGACACGCAGCAGUGCCAUGUGAAAAUAAAGGCCCUUUGGCAAGCUCCCAGAAGACAAGGGAGGCAAACAGUCAUUCUGGUUCUGCCCCACAGACAUGCUGCUUUUAUGAGGAGCUGCAUGCUAUUCUCAGGGGUGACCCCACCACUACCCCAAAACACUCCAUGGAUAUCUCCCAGGAGCCCCAGGUGACCUCAAGCAACAGUGAGGAGGACAUUGUUGAUGACGAGGAGGAGAAUGCGAGGCAGGCAAGCAGAGGAUCCAUUCUCCCCAACAUCCAAGAACUGUUUUUUAACCCUGGAGCCUGUCCCUUCACAGGACCAGUUGGCGGCAGAGCGUGAUGCCGGGGAAGGCACCUCUGCUGAAACCUUGUCCAUUGGCUUAUCCUUCACACCGGGACAGAGACUUUCCCAGAUUAGAAGGCGGAAAAAAGAAGACUCAGGAGGACAUGUUCAAUGAGUUAACGCACGCCUCCGAGAGUGACAAGAUGGAGCUCAGAGCAUGGAGGAUCACACUGUCCAAGAACCUGGACAUGGACAGGAAGGACAGGAGAGCAUGCAGGGAACAAGAGCUUGCUAUGCAGGAAGAGAUGCUGCGGAUUAUGAAGGAGCAAUCAGACCUGUUGAGGCAUCUGGUUGAGGUGGGGCAUGGGGGAAAAGAGCUACACCGGGGACAUGCAUGCUGGAUGCUAGAGUCUCUCUGCAGCCUAUGCUGAACCUGCUGCCAUCAAGUUCCACAUCCUCCUCCCCCAAAUGUCCUAUGGGGGGGAGGGAGGGAAGUUCGGUAUCCCUUGCAUUCAGCACCAGGAGAGGGUACAAGGACCAGAAGGCACCCACUCCCUGUCCUGCCAUUCAGAAAAGCAACAUUGCUGUGAGGGAAAUUACCUAAAAUGUUAUGUAAGUGUUUGAAACCUUGGAUCAGAGCCUGGAAAAGGUGUUGAUCCACAUUUAAUCAAACCAGUUAGAAAUAGAAACUUAUAUAAGACUUUAUAAAUAAGUAAUCUUAUUUCUUUGGUUAAAAAUAACCUUUGUAGAAUACAGUCCAUGGCUUUAAUGAAAGUGUCAGUUGUCCCUCAUUAUGAAAUGCAGCAUUUCUUUUAGAACCAAAUUUCUCUUCAUCUCACACAAACCUAGUGUUAUCUUACUGUUUAUUCCUGUGAAUUGUUUUCAUUAGACAUUCUGUGUCUACAAAAUGAGGUUCUACAAAACUCUAUAGGACCAAUAUGCAAACACAGGUGCAAUGAGUAAACCUGCAAAAUUUUAAUUUGUGCAUGUAAAUAGGGAUCUGUGCAUAAAAGCCUAGAUGAUUACAAGUGCAAAUAAACACUCAUUCAUAAAGUUAUGUUUAGUGCCUACAAACAUUGUUUUUUGCUGGCACAACUGAUCUGUAUUCAUUUUUGUGGCCAUACCCAUAGCACAGUUUUUUGUAACCCAUUGCACGGUCUUUUGUUGUUCUGUAUAUGUUAAAGAAAAUAAUCCUGUAACAGAAUGACCGGCCCUUUAAGGGGAUAUCGGUCUGAGCCCCACCUGUGAUUAGGGUUCCCACCUGGCUGGUUUUUGUAUUGCCUUAUUGGGUAAAAGAUUUAAUGUGCUGGGUUGUUUUUUCACUUGGGACAUGUUAGAGUGCUCUAUAAUUCUUACCUCUGUAGUCCGGACUGCAGUGCCAUGUUAGGAUAUGAUAGGUAAGAAAAAUGACACAAUAACACAAAAAUACACGUAUUUGUGUGUGUUUGUGUAAAAUGGUUCUCUAAAAUUUUUUAGUAAUAAUUAGCUGUAGGUGGCAUUACAACCCUUUUUGUUGCUGUGAGGAGAGGUAGCCAGUGGCCAAUUUUUCUGGGUCUUGGAAGUGGCAACCCUACCUGUGACACAGUUAACUCACCUCACAAGGUAGGGAAAAUGGAUUGUGUAACCCAAUCAGGCCUUGGGGAUAAAUAAGAGAUAGGCCUAGGUAGCGGAAAAGGGAAGGAAAGACUGCAGAAAAGCCAGCUAGCUAGUCUGCCCUGGGAGUUGCUUCCGACUAGAGAGCUGGGAGCACCCCAAAGGAGCCCAGGAGGGGCUGAAAAGAGCCCAGAAAGAGCUGAAAGCUGACAAGCUCUGGGAAAGAGGGACGGUGGAGCCAAAGGGUCCGCAGUUGAUAAAAGACUGGGGAAAAAAAAAAUCCCACAAAAGGGACUUAUUGUAAGGAUUCUGAUUUUAGAGUCAGUUAUUGUAAAGAACCUGAGAGGGAACUGAGGGCAAGGUACUUAAAAGGCAAUCCCACACCACAAGAGGGUACUCUGGAGUCACUCUGAUAUUUCAAAUGUUACAAAUCCCAAGUCAUUUCAAAAUAUAUUCUUCCAUUUUUGCUGAGUUCCUUGUUUAAACUUUGUAAUGUGUGAUGAAAUCCAUAUAGCAGAUUGAGAGCAAUGGAUGAGGUAAAUUGUGUCAGUAGGUGAACAAACUAAGGCUUUCAGCACAGGUAGGGGUAGAAGAUUAAGAUGAAUUGUGCCAAUGUUCCAGAGGUGGUAAUAGGGAAAUGUGCGAGCACAGAUUAAGUAUCAAGAAGGACUGAAGAUUUUUAGCCUUGAGAGAAAAGCUAAAGUCUGAGUUAAGACUAAAAAUGGAGGUGGAGUCUGGGGAUCUGAGAUUACUUUUUACCAAGAAGGAGGACUUGAAUAUUUAAGUACAAAUGAAAACAGGACUCACUGCACAUUAUAAUCUGUUUUUUUUGCUUGGCUGAGCAGUAAAUGGUUAUUCCUCUUUAGGCUUUAAUGUGCAGAGUUCCAAAAGCAUAGAGUUAUUUUUAAUCAGCUUCUUUAAUUUAGUAACAGUGGUCUUCUGACAAUGAAAGGAAACAAAAAAAGAUGGUUCCUGCUGAUAAAAUUUAAUUUCUUUGACACAUCAAGCAUUUUAAUGUCAAGGUAGCUGCUCAUAGCUAGAGCUGCGAGACCUUGAAAGCCAUCUCUGGCGAGGAAAUAUUGUUUUGUUCACAAACUCUGAGAUCUAGGGAGAGCUUAAAAUAUUGGCUGUUAGUUUAAAAUAUGCCUGUUCCUAUCUUAAGAGGCUGAUAUAUCACUGAAGUGUUAAGGAAUGAGUUGAUACAUUCUAAAGUGAAAAUCUUAUGUACUUUGAGCUAGAUUUAUUCCUGGGAUACCGCCACUGAUUUCAAAGUUACACCAGGGAAGAAUUUGAUCCACUGAGCCAAAUCCUGACUCCAUAAUUGGCCUGCCUCCUGUGUCAAUCAGGAUGACUUGGAGCGUUGGCCUCUGCUCAUUGUCCCUGGGAACUGUGAGUUUCAGGGUCUUGAUUUCUCAUUGGCCCUUCUCCUUUCUUUCAGUACUGGGAGAGUGCCAACCAAAAAUCCCUACUAAGUUUCAGUAAGGGGACAACAAUCCCCUUACAAUAAGCUAAGACUCUAUAGGCUUCAUGGCAUGUUACUUA
Dermochelys coriacea (leatherback sea turtle) is the source of this 4614-nucleotide long non-coding RNA. RefSeq lists it as uncharacterized. The record is from RefSeq and is a predicted model, not a curated record. The transcript is spliced from 3 exons. Lineage: Eukaryota; Metazoa; Chordata; Testudines; Dermochelyidae.